Molecule: long non-coding RNA, 4686 nt
Organism: Columba livia (rock pigeon)
Lineage: Eukaryota; Metazoa; Chordata; Aves; Columbiformes; Columbidae
Exons: 10
Source: RefSeq, a predicted model, not a curated record
CCCCGUGAGCGCAGGUGCAAUCAAUGAGGUUGAUGGCUCGUUAGCAGCUUUUGUGCUCCGUUAUCGUCCCAUCCCUCCCCCCUUCCGCUCGGGUAAACGGUCACUCCUCGCGGUCACCUCCCCCGGCCACGGAGCUCAGCCCUGGGAGGGGGGGGGCAGGCCUGGAGAAGUUUCUGGAACAGCUCCAGGCGGGUCCCCGCGCUGGAAAAGGGUCUUUGGGGAGCGGAGCCCCCGGUGAACAGGGACUGAGGAGACUCCCCGGGACUGAGAGCCCUCACCUGCCCCUUGAGUUUUCCAGCUGCAGAGUUGAGUGUGAGAAGAGGUUCUUGUAAGACUUUCACCUAAUGCUGGGCUCACAGAAUCACAGAGGUUGGAAGGAACCCCCGAGCAUCAUUGAGGUCCCUGAGGACCACGACGCGUCCUUGGCAGGAAACCACAGGUGUUGUUCCAGGCGCUGCCUUCCCCAGCUGCUCCUCGUUCUCCAGCCCCAGUCUCCAGCUGCUUUCAGUUGCCGCAGUUUGGGGAGAAGUUCAAGGUUUGAUGGAAACCUCGUCCCCAUCUGCUCUGCAGAGAGAUUGUCAGGAAAGAGGUGAAGUCCAUCACCCAAAGCAGAACAACCCAAAGCAGAACAACCAACGCUGAGGGCAAGCAUCACUUUUGUCUCGGCAGCGUUGCUGCCCACACUUGGGAUGGAUGCGGAUGGUGACAAUGGCAAAAUAAGACUAGAUUUGAGGGGAAAAGGAUGCUCAGCAACCCAAGAGGAACUCGAUCUCAGGGGAGCCCGGUGAUCAGACUUGAAGAGGAGAAAGAGAGAUACGCAGCAGCAGACACAGACGAGAGGAGCAGCUGGAUGUGGCCCAUGAUGUGAUAUUCCCCUUAACCCAGUAGCAUCUCGGGGAGGAAGAGGAGGAGGACGCAUCCCCAGCAGCAGAAUCUGUGCAACUUCACGUUUCUGAGCUAUAAACCUUUCAAUAGCUGGAAGUAAAUCCUUCAGCUUUCUCCUAGAGCUCAGCCUCUGCAGCUGCAAAUUUAUUUGGCGGGCGGAAAAUCGGGCCAAAAGAAGUAAAUAUGAGCGAUGUGACUGAUAGUGCUAGAACAUUACACAAGCUCCCACGUGGCUGUGGUGGAAGGUGAGUCCCUGGCGGAUGGUUCAAGAAGCUGGAGCCGUCGUCCUUCCCGGGAUGCUGGGCAAGGGAGGGAAAAAACAUUUGUGGAGGUGGGGGGUGUGCAGAGCUCAGCUCUGGAGUGACAGUUUUGGGGUACAAGUGCUGCAGGCGAGGACAAUACCCUGCUCUGGUUUGUUCAUCAUGCUACGCAUUCACUUGUUUCACAUUAGGGACAUGGUGGACUUGACAGUGUUGAUGGUUGCAUUCAAUAAUCUUAAAGGUUUUUUCCAACCAGAAUGACUCAGUGAUUCUAUAAGGCUGUUUGUGACUACUGGAGUAGGGCUGGAGGUUCAGCUUUUGGGACUAGCAUGCACAUGGCAGCGGCAACACCGCGGAGGUCCUGCUAAUUGUGAGACUGUCAGAGCAAAAAAGGCUUAAAAGCAAAAAGAUACCACCGCAUAGCAGGUGAGUGUUUUGCCACGUGUGUUACCCCAUCACUGUCCCCAAUCAGCGCUCGGUGCAUUAAGCAACCACUCCGGGACGAGUCUCCUGGCAUCGCCGUGCUCGGGCAGCUCUGCUGGGAUGCGGGUUUGCCCGCAGGGAUUUGGCAGCAGCCACAGUGCAAAGGGUGGGGAGGAACCCCAGGUCACACCUGGAAAAUCACAGCGGUUGUCCGGAUUCGGAGGCAGAGGGAGAACUUUGAAUCUGUCCUCUGGACUCUCUUUGCACAGCAACCAGCGCUUCCCCAGGAGCAUCUUGUGCUGCGCAUUAAGGGGCUGUAGAUUAGGAGAUGAACACCCCUGCGAACCCGUUCCAAAGGGUGGGUAAAUGUAUUUCUUUUCCGUGUAAAAGCAAGUGAGCUAAUGUUUUAAAUCCUGCUCUCCAGGUUUCUGCAUUCGGGGCCGCUCUCUAGCUCUGCCCAGAAACCGAGGGAGCCACGAGAAGGCUGGUUUUUAGGAACUGUCAGGAGUUGCUGCCACUUUUAGUACUCGACACCUCAGAGAGCAGAAUCCCCCCCCGGCCUCCUGGUUCACCCCGCGCUGGAGACGAGUUUCCAUUAGCGCUGUGAGCAAAACGAAUCACCACAGUGGUAUCAAAGGAAACUUUUCCAAGCUGUUGAUGUACAGCAAAGGGCCAGUCUCAUUCAUAUAACUCAGCAUUUAACGGUCUCAGACCACGGCGCUGUGUCUGCAGGAGCUCGCUUGGGUUCUCACGAUGGCUUUGGAGUUAGGUUCUUAAGCUGAAACGACACCGCAGCUGUUAAGCAGAGCAUCUACACGAGCGGCUGAUGGAAGCAGAGCUGUGAGAUCCAGAAGUACCUGCUGGCUUUGAUAGCAACGACAAACCGGAGUUCCCGUCCCACCAGAAUCCCCACAGGUCGUUGUCAGGAAGGGCUUGUGUGAGGCUGCAGCAGCCCCUGGCAGUGAUGGAGCCGUUCAGUGAUCCACCAUCAGCCCCGUCACCUGCACUCAGCUCCCUCCUUGGAAAAACAUGCAAUUUUCCAAAGGGUUUUAAUUUGUUAAAGGUGGAGAUUUUUCAUGCAUUGCAGGUCAAGGCUGAAGACUGGUCAAUGAAGACUGGUCAGAUUUCCCACCAAACCAAACAAAACACAAUGCUGGUAAGUUCCUGCCCUGCACUUCCGCAAGGUAAUAUCAUGUAUAUGUGUGUGCAAUUAAUUCACUGUUUUUCCCUCCCCCUGGAUGCACAAGCAAGUAUUUUUGUUCAUAUGAGCAGAUCAGUUCAGCAAUGCUGCUUUUAGCUGCACUUCCAAGGUUUUUUGUGUCAACGGGAACAUUGGGUCAAGUUGCAAACAGGCCUGGAAAAUCUGGUGCAGCAUCUCUAACGCUAUUGACAGGGCCUGUUUAUAUCCGGCAUUGCCAAGCUAACAGUUGUCAUUCAGCUCUUGAGCACAUUUUGCACCAUCUCAUCUAUUUUUCAUGUCUUGCACCCUCCGUGACACCCUUAUCAGUCCCCGAGUGCGUUCAUUCUGCUUCAGCGCAGUCACAAGUAAACCUGCAUAAUGGCUCAGAUAGCAAAAGGAUGCUCAAUUUCUGCAAAAGAAACCCAAACCCUCACUGUGUUUAUUGUAGAUUCUAUAAGUGACUUCUUCAUAGCAGGAACUCAAAAAAACAACCCCAAAACACCACAGUGUUUGAUAGCAGAGGAGGGAUGAGGAGAUUGGAUUAAAACAUCUGGCGAGGUAAUUAGAUUCACUAAAAGUUUACACUCCAAACUGCCCCCACAUAAUUGAUGGGACAGCCGUGCUGUGUCACUUCCACUUACGCCCGCGCUCCCCUCCGCGCCUGACCCGCUGCGUCCCCCAUUAAACCUGCAAUUACGGGGUGACUCUUAAUAGCGAGGUCUCGCUUCAGCGUGGGGAAAAAUGUUUCUGUAGCUCACACGCAACAAUUAAAGAUAAUUUAAAAUGUAAGUAAUUGCGGUGGGUUACUGGAAACUACUGUAGAGGUCUUGUCCCAGGCAGCUGACAGGCAUGGUUGGUGUAUUUUGACAAGUUUUGCACAGAUACCCACUAGCAGCUCUAUUUUAUUUGGAGUCAUUGGUCGGGAAAUGGAGAUUGUGAAAGGUCAGGCCUGGAAGAUUUGGGAGGGGAUGGAGGUCUUAUUCACAUUGUGCUCCAUGGGGAUCUAGUUCCAAUCUAAAUCUCUCUUGUUUCUGCUUUGAGAAAGGGAAGGACCGAUCUGCAGAGAAGAGCUGCUCGAGUUCCUCUCGCCCUUGCAGAGACACCAGGUGAGGUGGGACCUAAAACAUCCACCUGCUCUCUGGAAACCCAUAGAAACCCGGUGAGUCGGGCUCGAGCGACCCCUCAAACACCAAAAUGUUUGGUUGGAUCUCCACCCCACCACCAGCAUUCCAAUAAACCUCUUCGCUUGCAAAACGAGAGUUGAAACCGCAACUAUUCGGAGGCAUCUGUAAGGUCAGCAACGUGUGAACACCCCACAGAACGCACCCGGGGGCUCGCAGAGGUUCAGCGCUCCCCGAAAUGAGUUUUGUGUCAUGGGAACAGACUGGCGGAUGAGUCUGGAUGGUGCCACAUGGUCCCAACGAUAAUGAGCCAUCUGUGUGCGUCGUGCUGUGCGACCUUCCCGCUCCCUGCUGGAUCUCCAUCGCUUUUCUUCCACGUCCUCGCUGCUUUGACCUACAGUGAAGGAACACAACAAAUGCCAGCAGAGCACAGGGUUAAAUAUGGGCUCAGCUACCAACACCCUAACAAAGAGCAAGUCCAUCUAAGAGUGAAAAAUAAGCGUGUGAAAAAUAGGAUAAUCCAUAAAAUGGAAAAGAACCCAUCAGGAAUAUAAUCACUUUCUGCCGCACGUCACCGAUUUAGGCUCCUGUCUCAUUUAGUGAGACUUUUGCUCCUAAAUCAUGUGAGGUGGGGUUUGAAGAGACAUUUUAAUCACAGGAUGCAGAGAGAAACUUGUAUAGUUGAAAAUUCCACUAUUUCUUGUUCUAUAGCUGGAUUUCUAAAUUAUGUUCAAAAGCUAGAGCUCACACCUUUGUAUUAUACAGCUUUUCAGGUUCUGCUGCUGGAUAAUAAAAUUAAAUACAUUUAUAAGCAGUU